GCGGAGGGAUCAUUACACAAAUAUGAAGGCGGGCUGGAACCUCUCGGGGUUACAGCCUUGCUGAAUUAUUCACCCUUGUCUUUUGCGUACUUCUUGUUUCCUUGGUGGGUUCGCCCACCACUAGGACAAACAUAAACCUUUUGUAAUUGCAAUCAGCGUCAGUAACAAAUUAAUAAUUACAACUUUCAACAACGGAUCUCUUGGUUCUGGCAUCGAUGAAGAACGCAGCGAAAUGCGAUAAGUAGUGUGAAUUGCAGAAUUCAGUGAAUCAUCGAAUCUUUGAACGCACAUUGCGCCCUUUGGUAUUCCAAAGGGCAUGCCUGUUCGAGCGUCAUUUGUACCCUCAAGCUUUGCUUGGUGUUGGGCGUCUUGUCUCUAGCUUUGCUGGAGACUCGCCUUAAAGUAAUUGGCAGCCGGCCUACUGGUUUCGGAGCGCAGCACAAGUCGCACUCUCUAUCAGCAAAGGUCUAGCAUCCAUUAAGCCUUUUUUUCAACUUUUGACCUCGGAUCAGGUAGGGAUACCCGCUGAACUUAAGCAUAUCAA
RNAcentral lists this ribosomal RNA (544 nucleotides) under Alternaria alternata. RNAcentral's name for it is "eukaryotic LSU rRNA". The stretch from base 181 to 334 matches the Rfam family "5.8S ribosomal RNA". The record is from RNAcentral. Lineage: Eukaryota; Fungi; Ascomycota; Dothideomycetes; Pleosporales; Pleosporaceae.